RNAcentral lists this ribosomal RNA (253 nucleotides) under uncultured bacterium. RNAcentral's name for it is "partial 16S ribosomal RNA". It matches the Rfam family "Bacterial small subunit ribosomal RNA", at positions 524 to 776 of the family's 1533-position model. The record is from RNAcentral.
UACGGAGGGGGCUAGCGUUGUUCGGAAGUACUGGUCGUAAAGCGCACGUAGGCGGCUUUGCAAGUUAGAGGUGAAAGCCCGGGGCUCAACUCCGGAAUUGCCUUUAAAACUGCAUCGCUAGAAUUGUGGAGAGGUAAGUGGAAUUCCGAGUGUAGAGGUGAAAUUCGUAGAUAUUCGGAAGAACACCAGUGGCGAAGGCGACUUACUGGACACAUAUUGACGCUGAGGUGCGGAAGCGUGGGGAGCAAACAGG